GAAAUGCGAUAAGUAGUGUGAAUUGCAGAAUUCAGUGAAUCAUCGAAUCUUUGAACGCACAUUGCGCCCCUUGGUAUUCCAUGUGGCAUGCCUGUUCGAGCGUCAUUUGUACCCUCAAGCUCUGCUUGGUGUUGGGUGUUUGUCCCGUCUCCGCGCGUGGACUCGCCCCAAAGUGAUUGGCAGCCGGCGUACUGGUCCCGGAGCGCAGCACAUGUCGCGCAAACGAGUGCCUUGGUACGGCGGCGUCCAUAAGCCCCUCUCUCACGCUCUUGACCUCGGAUCAGGUAGGGAUACCCGCUGAACUUAAGC
RNAcentral lists this unclassified non-coding RNA (309 nucleotides) under plant metagenome. Its description in RNAcentral is "partial contains 5.8S ribosomal RNA, internal transcribed spacer 2, and large subunit ribosomal RNA". The stretch from base 1 to 105 matches the Rfam family "5.8S ribosomal RNA", at positions 50 to 154 of the family's 154-position model. The record is from RNAcentral.